AAAAGUCGUAACAAGGUUUCCGUAGGUGAACCUGCGGAAGGAUCAUUAUUGAAACAACUAUGGGCGCCGAGGGCUGUCGCUGACCAUUAAUUAUAUUAUGGUCGUGCACGCCCAAAGUGUUCUCAUCCAUCUCACCCCUUUGUGCAUCACCGCGUGGGCUUCCUUUGGAUCCCUCCAAAGGUGGCUUACGUUUUUCUACACAAACACACCUUACUUAAUUUGAAUGUCUCUUCUUUUGCGGUCACACGCAAUCAAUACAACUUUCAACAACGGAUCUCUUGGCUCUCACAUCGAUGAAGAACGCAGCGAAAUGCGAUACGUAAUGUGAAUUGCAGAAUUCAGUGAAUCAUCGAAUCUUUGAACGCACCUUGCGCCCCUUGGUAUUCCGAGGGGCACACCCGUUUGAGUGUCGUGAAAUUCUCAACCUCCUCGGUUUCUUUUUUGGACCCGGGGGAAGGCUUGGACUUUGGAGGCUUCUGCUGGCCCCACAAACCUGCUGGGCCAGCUCCUCUUAAAUGGAUUAGCAGGGUCUUCUUUGCUGAUCCCUUGACGUGAUAAGAUGUUUCUACGUCUUGGGCUCGGCUCUGUUUCUUGGGACCUGCUCCUAACCGUCUCAUUUGGAGACAAAUGUGUGUUCAAAAAGUAAUUUAAUUUAAUUUUUGAAUGCCCCAUUGAACCCUUGACCUCAAAUCGGGUGAGACUACCCGCUGAACUUAAGCAUAUCAAUAAGCGGAGGA
This 737-nucleotide ribosomal RNA is filed under the name Multifurca ochricompacta. RNAcentral's name for it is "eukaryotic LSU rRNA". The stretch from base 259 to 412 matches the Rfam family "5.8S ribosomal RNA". Lineage: Eukaryota; Fungi; Basidiomycota; Agaricomycetes; Russulales; Russulaceae. The record is from RNAcentral.